Caenorhabditis elegans is the source of this 90-nucleotide non-coding RNA. NCBI's taxonomy places the organism in Eukaryota, Metazoa, Nematoda, Chromadorea, Rhabditida, Rhabditidae. The record is from Ensembl.
ACAAAAGCGUAAGCCCAAUGCGGGGCUCGAACCCGCGACAACCAGAUUAAGAGUCUGGUGCUCUACCGACUGAGCUAACCGGGCGGCAAA